CUUUUCUACAACAGAUUUUGGAUAUUGAUCAGUAAUAGAAAUUGACGAACUUUUCAACUUGUAACUCCUUUUACGAACACUGUCACGUUUCUGCCUGUCACUAAAUUUCACCAAUAUAGGCCGUAUACGUUCCUGACCCUCAUUUUGACUCAAUACUGCUACCUCAUUUUUUUUACCAAGACGAAAGGCAGAUUUUAUGUUUAAUUCAUCCUCAAUUUCUAGGUUGAUUUCACACAUACUUUUAAUAAUAAGAGCACAAUCUUCUCCUUCACUUUCCUUUAUUCCACGAAAAAGCAAAUAAUUACGCAUGGAUUCACACUUAAUAGAUUCAAGAUCAUUG
This 340-nucleotide long non-coding RNA is filed under the name Mytilus galloprovincialis (Mediterranean mussel). Lineage: Eukaryota; Metazoa; Mollusca; Bivalvia; Mytilida; Mytilidae. The record is from RNAcentral.